UACAGAGGGCGCGAGCGUUGUCCGGAAUCACUGGGCGUAAAGGGCGCGUAGGUGGCCACUAUAAGGCCGCGGUGAAAGUUCGGGGCUCAACCCUGAAUCGGCCGCGGCGACUGUAGGGCUUGGGCACUGUAGAGGCAGAUGGAAUUCCUGGUGUAGCGGUGAAAUGCGCAGAUAUCAGGAGGAACACCGAUGGCGAAGGCAGCUCACUGGGACGGUACUGACGCUGAGACGCGAAAGCUAGGGGAGCGAACGGG
RNAcentral lists this ribosomal RNA (254 nucleotides) under uncultured bacterium. Its description in RNAcentral is "partial 16S ribosomal RNA". It matches the Rfam family "Bacterial small subunit ribosomal RNA", at positions 524 to 776 of the family's 1533-position model. The record is from RNAcentral.